CAUAAUUGCACGGGGUGCUUUUGCUGAAAAGCAAGGCUGAGAUGAUACCCGAAAAACCUGAUACGGAUAAUACCGGCGUAGGGAUGCAUGGCCGGUCUUGU
RNAcentral lists this non-coding RNA (101 nucleotides) under Mucilaginibacter pedocola. Its description in RNAcentral is "TPP sequence". It matches the Rfam family "TPP riboswitch aptamer (THI element)". From Rfam's summary of the family: Vitamin B(1) in its active form thiamin pyrophosphate (TPP) is an essential coenzyme that is synthesised by coupling of pyrimidine and thiazole moieties in bacteria. The record is from Rfam by way of RNAcentral. Lineage: Bacteria; Pseudomonadati; Bacteroidota; Sphingobacteriia; Sphingobacteriales; Sphingobacteriaceae.